CAAGCUCUUCUCUGUAAGUCACUCUGGAUAAGAGCGUCUGCUAAAUGACUAAAA
Non-coding RNA from Salmo salar (Atlantic salmon), 54 nucleotides. NCBI's taxonomy places the organism in Eukaryota, Metazoa, Chordata, Actinopteri, Salmoniformes, Salmonidae. The record is from Rfam.